The sequence is a ribosomal RNA, 645 nucleotides long. The stretch from base 232 to 388 matches the Rfam family "5.8S ribosomal RNA".
AUAUUUUUCCUUGGGACUUAAGAGGUGGCUGUUGCUGACUAGUGUUUCUAGUAUAGUGCACGCCACACCUUCAAUCCCACUUACACCUGUGCACCUUCUGUAGUACUCACUUGUGGACGCAGACGUGUGGAAGUCUUCACUGACAUUCCUACUCUGCUGAAGCACUAUACUACGUUUUUUUCACACACACAAGAGACUUUGAAUGUGUAUUUUAUUUCUUAUGAGAAAAACAACUUUUAACAACGGAUCUCUUGGGUCUCGCAUCGAUGAAGAACGUAUCGAAUUACAAUAUGUGAUGUGAAUUGCAGCAAUUCUAGUGAAUCACCGAAUCUCUGAGCGCACCUUGCGCUCUUUGUGUAUUCCGAAAAGAACGCGUGUGUGAGUGUCACGAAUCUCUCAAAUAAAAUGAUUUAUUUUUGAAUCAUUAUUAUUUGGACUUGGAAAUUUGUCGGCGCCAAGUCCACCCUUCUUAAAUGCAUUAACUGGGGUUUAAAUAGUUGGAACCUUGUGUGGAUAAUUAUCUACCCCUUGAAAUCCCUGUAGACUCUGCUUCAAAUCGUCUCUACUGUUGAAGACAAUAUUUGAAUCAUCUGACCUCAAAUCAGGUAGGACUACCCGCUGACUAACCUUUCCAAGCGGAAGGAA